This 253-nucleotide ribosomal RNA is filed under the name uncultured bacterium. RNAcentral's name for it is "partial 16S ribosomal RNA". It matches the Rfam family "Bacterial small subunit ribosomal RNA", at positions 524 to 776 of the family's 1533-position model. The record is from RNAcentral.
UACGAAGGGGGCAAGCGUUGUUCGGAAUUACUGGGCGUAAAGGGCGCGUAGGCGGCGCAUCAAGUCAGGCGUGAAAGCCCCGGGCUCAACCCGGGAAUUGCGCUUGAGACUGGUGUGCUCGAGUCCGGGAGAGGUAAGCGGAAUUCCGAGUGUAGAGGUGAAAUUCGUAGAUAUUCGGAAGAACACCAGUGGCGAAGGCGGCUUACUGGACCGGUACUGACGCUAAGGCGCGAAAGCGUGGGGAGCAAACAGG